This is a long non-coding RNA of Oncorhynchus tshawytscha (Chinook salmon), 1039 nucleotides long. Lineage: Eukaryota; Metazoa; Chordata; Actinopteri; Salmoniformes; Salmonidae. The record is from Ensembl.
GUAAUAGUAAAAAGUUGUAAUAGAGUAAAGUUGUAAUAUAGUAAAGUUGUAAUAUAGUAGAGUAAAGUUGUAAUAGAGUAAAGUUGUAAUAGUAAAAAGUUGUAAUAGAGUAAAGUUGUAAUAGUAAAAAGUUGUAAUAGAGUAAAGUUGUAAUAGUAAAAAGUUGUAAUAGAGUAAAGUUGUAAUAGAGUAAAGUUGUAAUAGUAAAAAGUUGUACUAGAGUAAAGUUGUAGUAGAGUAAAGUUGUAAUAGAGUAAAGUUGUAUUAGUAAAAAGUUGUAAUAGAGUAAAGUUGUAAUAGUAAAAAGUUGUAAUAGAGUAAAGUUGUAAUAUAGUAAAGUUGUAAUAUAGUAGAGUAAAGUUGUAAUAGAGUAAAGUUGUAAUAGUAAAAAGUUGUAAUAGAGUAAAGGUGUAAUAGUAAAAAGUUGUAAUAGAGUAAAGUUGUAAUAGAGUAAAGUUGUAAUAGUAAAAAGUUGUAAUAGAGUAAAGUUGUAAUAUAGUAAAGUUGUAAUACAGUAAAGUUGUAAUAGAGUAAAGUUGUAAUAGUAAAAAGUUGUAAUAGAGUAAAGUUGUAAUAGUAAAAAGUUGUAAUAGUAAAAAGUUGGAAUAGAGUAAAGUUGUAAUAUAGUAAAGUUGUAAUAGAGAAAAGUUGUAAUAGUAAAAAGUUGUAAUAAAGUAAAGUUGUAACAGAGUAAAGUUGUAAUAGAGAAAAGAUGUAAUAGUAAAAAGUUGUAAUAGAGUAAAGUUGUAAUAGAGUAAAGUUGUAAUAGAGUAAAGUUGUAAUAGUAAAAAGUUGUAAUAGAGAAAAGUUGUAAUAUAAAACAGUUGUAAUAGAGUAAAGUUGUAAUAGUAAAACGUUGUAAUAGAGUAAAGUUGGAAUAUAUUAAAGUUGUAAUAGAGUAAAGUUGUAAUCGAGAAAAGUUGUAAUAGUAAAAAGCUGUAAUAGAGUAAAGUUGUAAUAGUAAAAAGUUGUAAUAGAGUAAAGUUGUAAUAGUAAAAAGUUGUAAUAGAGUAAAGUUGUAAUAGUAAAAAGUUGUAAU